Long non-coding RNA from Loxodonta africana (African savanna elephant), 1600 nucleotides. RefSeq lists it as uncharacterized. The record is from RefSeq and is a predicted model, not a curated record. The transcript is spliced from 2 exons. NCBI's taxonomy places the organism in Eukaryota, Metazoa, Chordata, Mammalia, Proboscidea, Elephantidae.
AACAUGUUGAAAUUAGAACAGGUCAUUUGCUAUCAAAAUGAUUAUUUUGAUAAUGACACCACAGUGAUGGUGGAGAGAAGGUUUUGGCAAGCUUAUUUUGUUUGAAUCCUGUUGGCCGUUUCAUUGUCAUUUCAUGUCAGGUGCAAGUUCUUUGUCUUUUUACCCUGUCAUAACAUCAUGAUCUUGGCAGAGACCCUGCCAGGUUACAGUUAAUCCAUUGAUCUAUUGUUGUUAUUCUUAGUUGCUGUAUUUAGAAUCUAUGCCUGUAACCAGGGAGUUCUUAGUCUGAUGUAAGAGACUGCCUCCAAAGAGCUAUGUGGAAAAUUUUCCCUUACCCCUUAAAUAUCUUUGUCUUUUCAAUGUGCAGAUCAGGUAGGUACUGCUCAUUCUUAAGAGUGUGAAGCCCAUCAGCAUUAUGUCCUAUGAUGUAAAAUUAAAACCAUUUAUCACAGACACUUGUAAAUUCAUGGCUGGAAAAUAUUUUUCUCAAGAUACGGAUUCUUAAUUCCAGGGAACAUUUUAGUGAAAGGAAAGUUUCCAUUAUAUGACUUAAAGACUUGAGAAGAAUUGACACUUGAAUUAGGUUGUUGAAAUGAACUUCUAAGCACCUUUGCUACUCAGACAUUAAAGACCGUCUUUGUUUAUAAGAUUGUAUAGGAUGACCAGGAGCAGCUAAAGGGAAUGUAGCCCAUGCUAGGUAUAAAUUAGUUAGCUUUUUUACUUGAAUACUAAAAUGCCUGUUUGCCAUAACUUAGAGGCCUCUAUUACUUACAUUAUUUCCUUUCUAACACAUUAAGUAUUAAUUACUACUCUAGAAUUGCUAAACAUGAUAGACUUUGCUUGGAAGCAGAUUGGUAACAUGUGAAAACAAAACAUCACAAAUAUUACAUGAUCUUCAUUCAGGACUAAGGGUCAAAACUUGGAUUUUAUAUAGUUGUAUGGAAUAGUCCUUUUUUUUGCAGAAUUUGUAUGGGAGUCUUAGUUUACAGUGUCUUUCUGUGGUAAGAAGUAUUGGCAGGAUGGAAAAGUAAAAUUAUGGAUCUUAUGGUGUUAGCAAUGCAUUCGAUGGAAGAGUAGAAGAAUGGUGGUAAGACGGUAAUUCAAGGUCAAAUUUACCUUGAUGUUGGUAUCUUUGCAUUAAAAAAAGUGUAUACUAUUCAGCAUUUUCCUAUAGUGGAAGCACUUAUUGUGUAAUGAAAAAUUCGCUAACUUAUUUGCAGUUGGCUUGGUGAUUUUUCCCUCUGUAUGCUGUCCCGAUUAUGACCAUAAAUUCAUAUUUAAAAUAAUUUGAAUUUAAUAUAUUUGGUUGACAAACCCCCUACAGCUUUACGAAGAAGAUUAGGUAAUUAUGUAGUAAAAUAAAAUCAACCAUUUAGCUUAGCUACCAUAACAUUUAGAUGUUAAGGCAGAUGGUUUGUGCUUUGAAUUAUUUGUUUAUUUUGCAUGUUAUAUCCUGUGAUCACCAAAAUACUUUGAGCAGCAAUCCAAGAAAAUUAUUAUUUAGUAAGUGUCACUUAGGAAAAAAUAUGUUUAGUGAAGCAAAGGCUGUCACAGAUCUUUUGGGAUUGUGUCUGGGAUAACCUUUCAGAUAUCCAUAUGA